Numida meleagris (helmeted guineafowl) is the source of this 1556-nucleotide long non-coding RNA. RefSeq lists it as uncharacterized. NCBI's taxonomy places the organism in Eukaryota, Metazoa, Chordata, Aves, Galliformes, Numididae. The record is from RefSeq and is a predicted model, not a curated record. The transcript is spliced from 3 exons.
GAUGUCAAAUGGCAGGCUGUGCCUACCAUCAGCUGUGCUCCACGUUAUGUCUCCUGUCUUGACUACGCUGUGGUCUUCUCCGAGCUGAGAAAAGACAGUGACAAUGGAGAAAGGAAAGCCCUGAACAAGCGUUUCUGGCAUGAGGAAGAACCAGCUUCAGCGUCUCACCCUGCCACGUGUAGAACCUCGUGUUUCCUGUACUUGCUGGCACACUUGACUGCAGCCCUUCCUUCUCCAACAUGUCUCUGAGAUGCUGUCCCCAAGCAUGCUGGCAUGUUUGCACGAAACAUGUAUGAUCCAUCGGCCCAAUUUCCAUCUGCUACAGGAGUACUUUCUGUCUCUGAGAAUCCAGCCUGCCCAUGGAGAUAGGCUCUCUCGCAGAGUGCAGUGGGUUUUUGCAUGCUAAUCUACCUUGAGCAGAGUAUUAAGCAACAGAGGGCGCACAGGGUAAGAGUGUUAGAAAUGGAUUAACAUAAAACUACAUACCAUUAUCACGGUCUCACUUUCCUAGGUUUAAUGAGUGACAUUCCUUAAUAUUACUAUUAAAUUUAUAGCAGUGAGAUAAGCAUCACAUUUUCCUAUGAUUGCAUUAAAGUUGAAGGAAAAAAUAUCAGGAGAUGUGCCAAAUGGAAUUGAAUGUCGCUUAAAGGAUGCGUGGGAUGGAAGAAGCAACUUGCAGGGAACAUCUGUUUCUGCUGGACCUUGUCACUUUUCUGUCAGUUGGAACUCUGAGUUAACCAGAUUCCUUUAAAUUUAAAAAGUGUUGUGUUUAAGAUAUAGCACAGUUCAAAUAUAACCAUCCACUAUGCUGGAGUUUGUACAUGUCAUGGAACUACUUUCUAGGUGAGGACAGAACUUGGUGCGAACAAAACUGCUUGUAUUUUCUUUCAGUACGGAGUGUGAGUGAGAGCUGGAGGGAUUUAAAGUGGUUUAAUCCUCACUGUUCUUCAUAUUCUCACUGUUUCACAGGUCGGUGAGCUGCAGCAUUUGUGUUGUAUUUGAAAAUACAUAUCUUCAGUCUGUUGGCCAGAUACCAAAACUUGUCCAAAAAUACAACCAAAAGACUUACUUAGGCUUUCAGAGUCUUAGUUACUUUGUUUGGUUUACAUAGUCCAAAAAAACAUACAUCAACAUAAGAGCAAAUGUCAGUCUGUACUUCUGUGCAAGCUCUUUGUGGACACCCUAAAGAGCCAAACUAGCCCAAGGAGUUGGGGCAGCAUUUCCUAACCCCAGUGUGUCCUCCGCUUGCUCUCUGAUGGAACCGUGGGAUGUGCUGGGGAGGAAGGAGAGCUUCUGUCAUCUCUUGAAAGCAACAACACACAUGCUCUGCUGUCUUCCCCAAGACUUUUCCCUAAAAAAAAAAGUACUUCUAUCGUGGUACACUUUGAUUCUUUAAUUUCCCAACGUUUUUUAAAAGGAAAGCAAAUAUUUCCUUGAAACAUUUUUAAUGGAACAGAUGUGAAUUUAUCUAAAAACAUUUUGGUGGCAAAUGUUAGACUUGUGUUACCAUGAAAUGCUUUUAAUAUGAAAGAGAUCACAGCAGUUAAAUUUUUUUA